UACGAAGGGUGCAAGCGUUACUCGGAAUUACUGGGCGUAAAGCGUGCGUAGGUGGUUUGUUAAGUCUGAUGUGAAAGCCCUGGGCUCAACCUGGGAAUUGCAUUGGAUACUGGCAGGCUAGAGUGCGGUAGAGGGUAGUGGAAUUCCCGGUGUAGCAGUGAAAUGCGUAGAGAUCGGGAAGAAUACCUGUGGCGAAGGCGGCCAGCUGGGCCAGAUCCGACACUGAGGCGCGAAAGCGUGGGGAGCAAACAGG
RNAcentral lists this ribosomal RNA (253 nucleotides) under uncultured bacterium. RNAcentral's name for it is "partial 16S ribosomal RNA". It matches the Rfam family "Bacterial small subunit ribosomal RNA", at positions 524 to 776 of the family's 1533-position model. The record is from RNAcentral.